GACGAACGCUGGCGGCGUGCCUAACACAUGCAAGUCGAACGGGGUGAUAUCCUUCGGGAGAUCACUUAGUGGCGAACGGGUGAGUAACGCGUGAGAAACCUGCCUUUCAGUGGGGGACAACAGUUGGAAACGACUGCUAAUACCGCAUAACGCAUUUAGGGGGCAUCCCUUGAAUGCCAAAGCUUUAUGUGCUGAAAGAUGGUCUCGCGUCUGAUUAGCUAGUUGGUGGGGUAACGGCUCACCAAGGCGACGAUCAGCAGCCGGUCUGAGAGGAUGAACGGCCACAUUGGGACUGAGAUACGGCCCAGACUCCUACGGGAGGCAGCAGUGGGGAAUAUUGGGCAAUGGGGGAAACCCUGACCCAGCAACGCCGCGUGAAGGAAGAAGGCCUGGUGUAGACUUCUUUAGUCAGGGACGAA
This 419-nucleotide ribosomal RNA is filed under the name uncultured bacterium. RNAcentral describes it as "bacterial SSU rRNA". It matches the Rfam family "Bacterial small subunit ribosomal RNA", at positions 28 to 449 of the family's 1533-position model. The record is from RNAcentral.